UGGGGAAUCUUGGACAAUGGGGGCAACCCUGAUCCAGCCAUGCCGCGUGAGUGAUGAAGGCCUUAGGGUCGUAAAGCUCUUUCGCCUGUGAAGAUAAUGACGGUAGCAGGUAAAGAAACCCCGGCUAACUCCGUGCCAGCAGCCGCGGUAAUACGGAGGGGGUUAGCGUUGUUCGGAAUUACUGGGCGUAAAGCGCACGUAGGCGGACCAGAAAGUUGGGGGUGAAAUCCCGGGGGCUCAACCCCGGAACUGCCUCCAAAACUAUUGGUCUAGAGUUCGAGAGAGGUGAGUGGAAUUCCAAGUGUAGAGGUGAAAUUCGUAGAUAUUUGGAGGAACACCAGUGGCGAAGGCGGCUCACUGGCUCGAUACUGACGCUGAGGUGCGAAAGUGUGGGGAGCAAAACAGGAUUAGAUACCCCUGGUAGUCCACACCGUAAAACGAUGAAUGCCAGUCGUCGGGGUAGCAUGCUAUUCGGUGACACACCUAACGGAUU
This 493-nucleotide ribosomal RNA is filed under the name uncultured bacterium. Its description in RNAcentral is "bacterial SSU rRNA". It matches the Rfam family "Bacterial small subunit ribosomal RNA", at positions 355 to 861 of the family's 1533-position model. The record is from RNAcentral.